CGUUCCGCCCCUUAUAGAAUCGAUUAUUGAUGGGAAGAUAUUAUUUAACUAUCCAAAAUAUUAUUUAAUUAUUUUCAGAAUUAUUUUCUUUCAAUGUUUAUUCAAAUAGAACUUAAACCCAUCUCAGAAUUUUUAAAUGCUUGAUGACGUCACAUUUAAAACGUGGCAACAUUGGUUUCCCCACUUUGACAGCCAAUGCUUAGUAGAGGGGUACGAAGGAUUCAGCUGUGAACGUGAGCCUUGGAUUGCCAUUGUUUCUCGAGUGUUCGGUCUGAAUCGUAGUGUGCGGGGUCAUUAGACUCAAUUAUUCACCUCUAAUUCUCAGUUCCAAAUUGAUUAAAUAUUACAAUAAAAGUAUAGUGAAGUUAUCCAGCAGCAGUGGAUUUGAAGAAUUUUAGAGCAUACUAUAUCCAAUGAGUUCUACCCCGCACCUACCAUGAAAUCUUAAAGCCACCCUACAACAACACCAAGGCCAGACCACACAGAGAGAAACAAUCAAUAGGCGACCAGCCUGGAUUAUUUCCACAUUUUCUUUUUUUGAGUACCUCCAGCUGCUUUCCAACAGUUUUGAGUACCUUCAGCUGCUUUCUACCAGUCUUCCUCUCCUGUACCUCCAGCAGGACAGCUGCUAGCGAGAGUUAGCACCCUUGGGUGCUCAUUACAUCAACUUCAAGAUUAGGAAAGAGUGGUUUGUUUGGGAACAUUUACUGUGCUCUUAUUAAAGACAGACUGGUUUUGUGAUAUUUAGUACAUUUUUUUUUAUAGUUCAAUUGCACACACAUUUUUCCUGCUUUAUAUUUUUUAUAGGUUUUUUUUUUCUUUACAACAUAAUAUUUAAUUGAUAGCGUUCCCCAACACUCUGCAAUCUAUAAAGGUAUAAAUUUCUGAGCUCAGAUAUUUUCCCUGAUAAUAGUAGUCGGUACUCUUAUCUUGAUUAUUUUUAGGCUGUGUUCCACUUUUGUAUAAUUAUUUAAACUCAUUCCAUUAUUUUAGUAUAUGUUUAAUUAAAUUUUUAAAAA
Molecule: long non-coding RNA, 1019 nt
Organism: Diabrotica virgifera virgifera (western corn rootworm)
Lineage: Eukaryota; Metazoa; Arthropoda; Insecta; Coleoptera; Chrysomelidae
Exons: 2
Source: RefSeq, a predicted model, not a curated record